Molecule: ribosomal RNA, 769 nt
Filed under: uncultured Actinomycetes bacterium
Lineage: Bacteria; Bacillati; Actinomycetota; Actinomycetes
Description: bacterial SSU rRNA
Rfam family: Bacterial small subunit ribosomal RNA
Source: RNAcentral
GACGAACGCUGGCGGCGUGCUUAACACAUGCAAGUGGUGCGACGAACCAGGGCUUGCCCUGGGGCAAAGCCGCGAACGGGUGAGUAACACGUGAGUAACCUGCCCCGAUGACCGGGACAACCCGAGGAAACUCGGGCUAAUACCGGAUGUGGCGCACAGGCACAAGCCUGUUCGCCAAAGGAAGCUUCGGCCUCCGCAUUGGGAGGGGCUCGCGGCCCAUUAGCUAGUUGGUGGGGUCAAGGCCUACCAAGGCGACGAUGGGUAGCUGGUCUGAGAGGACGAUCAGCCACACUGGGACUGAGACACGGCCCAGACUCCUACGGGAGGCAGCAGUGGGGAAUCUUGCGCAAUGCGCGAAAGCGUGACGCAGCAACGCCGCGUGGGGGAAGACGGCCUUCGGGUUGUAAACCCCUUUCAGAGGGGACGAAGGUUCGGCGGUGAAUAGCCGUCCGGACUGACGGUACCUUCAGAAGAAGCUCCGGCUAACUACGUGCCAGCAGCCGCGGUAAUACGUAGGGGGCAAGCGUUGUCCGGAAUCAUUGGGCGUAAAGCGCGCGUAGGCGGCCCUGUAAGUCCGCUGUAAAAGUCAAAGGCUCAACCUUUGAAAGCCGGUGGAUACUGCAGGGCUAGAGUCCGGAAGAAGCGAGUGGAAUUCCUGGUGUAACGGUGGAAUGCGCAGAUAUCAGGAGGAACACCAAUAGCGAAGGCAGCUCGCUGGGACGUUACUGACRCUGAGGCGCGAAAGCGUGGGGAGCGAACAGGAUUAGAU